RNAcentral lists this ribosomal RNA (305 nucleotides) under uncultured bacterium. Its description in RNAcentral is "bacterial SSU rRNA". It matches the Rfam family "Bacterial small subunit ribosomal RNA", at positions 337 to 634 of the family's 1533-position model. The record is from RNAcentral.
UCCUACGGGGGGCAGCAGUAGGGAAUUUUCGGCAAUGGGGGGAACCCUGACCGAGCAACGCCGCGUGGGUGAAGAAGGUCUUCGGAUCGUAAAACCCUGUUGUUAGAGAAGAAAGUGCGUGAGAGUAACUGUUCACGUUUCGACGGUAUCUAACCAGAAAGCCACGGCUAACUACGUGCCAGCAGCCGCGGUAAUACGUAGGUGGCAAGCGUUAUCCGGAUUUAUUGGGCGUAAAGGGAACGCAGGCGGUCUUUUAAGGCUGAUGUGAAAGCCUUCGGCUUAACCGGAGUAGUGCAUUGGAAACU